AACGAACGCUGGCGGCAGGCCUAACACAUGCAAGUCGAACGCUGUAGCAAUACAGAGUGGCAGACGGGUGAGUAACGCGUGGGAACCUUCCCAAUGGUACGGAAUAGCUCAGGGAAACUUGAGGUAAUACCGUAUAAGCCCCUAGGGGGAAAGAUUUAUCGCCAUUGGAUGGGCCCGCGUCGGAUUAGCUAGUUGGUGGGGUAAUGGCCUACCAAGGCGACGAUCCGUAGCUGGUUUGAGAGAAUGACCAGCCACACUGGGACUGAGACACGGCCCAGACUCCUACGGGAGGCAGCAGUGGGGAAUCUUGGACAAUGGGCGCAAGCCUGAUCCAGCCAUGCCGCGUGAGUGACGAAGGCCUUAGGGUUGUAAAGCUCUUUUGCCGGGGACGAUAAUGACGGAACCCGGAGAAUAAGUCCCGGCUAACUUCGUGCCAGCAGCCGCGGUAA
This 449-nucleotide ribosomal RNA is filed under the name uncultured bacterium. RNAcentral's name for it is "partial 16S ribosomal RNA". It matches the Rfam family "Bacterial small subunit ribosomal RNA", at positions 29 to 523 of the family's 1533-position model. The record is from RNAcentral.